Molecule: small nucleolar RNA, 138 nt
Organism: Ornithorhynchus anatinus (platypus)
Lineage: Eukaryota; Metazoa; Chordata; Mammalia; Monotremata; Ornithorhynchidae
Source: RefSeq, a predicted model, not a curated record
CCCCUCUCAGGGUGGCACCUGGAGAGUUUCCAGUGCUCUACCAGUCUCGACUAUGGGAGGAAGAGACAAGCAGAGGCCUACCUAUUCCAUUCUCAGCUUGGCCAGUGGCUAGCGAGUGGAAGGCCAUCUGCUACAAGU